GGAGGGAUGACCGAGCGGACGAAGGUGACGGUCUUGAAAACCGUUGGGCCCUGAAGGGCCCCGUGGGUUCGAAUCCCACUCCCUCCG
Molecule: transfer RNA, 87 nt
Filed under: Acidimicrobiia bacterium
Lineage: Bacteria; Bacillati; Actinomycetota; Acidimicrobiia
Description: tRNA-Ser
Rfam family: tRNA
About the family: Transfer RNA (tRNA) molecules are approximately 80 nucleotides in length. Their secondary structure includes four short double-helical elements and three loops (D, anti-codon, and T loops).
Source: RNAcentral